UGAUUUGGUAGUAUUUUGAAUAACUUAAAAAAAAUCUCAGUGCCUUGAUUUGGGAGAAUGAAGUGGCUUGCUGAAAUUUCUUUUAAGUGGCUGACAAUAGUCAUUAGAAAGACAUCUAGUGAAUUUGUCUUUAGAUGAGCUUCUUAACGCAGGGAGGUUUUGUGGGGCAAAGUGGUGUGAGGUCAUUCCCUAAUUAUCUUAAUUUAGUUGGUUUUGGUCCACUGUGUUUCAGGUUCAGAAGCAUUUAUUUGUUCUGCUGUGAGUCAUAGUGCUUCAUUAUGACAUUUGCACUGACAGUUAUGGGAGAGAUGUGCUGAAAGGCGCUAGGCUACAUCAACAUUUUCAAACUCCCACAUGCUUCUUCCCAUUUUUAUUAGGAUCUCCUCAAAGUUGGUUACACACCCUCUUUCAAAUUAUUCUUUGUAACUCAGGUCUAUCACGUUGCCUGUACAACACUCACGAGUCACUGUGCAGCCAUGGAUUUUGCUGCCUGCUUCAAGCUUUGCAAUGCCUGUGUCCAGCACUAUGCACAAUGAGACCUAAUCCCCAGCUGGGGACCAUCUCUAGCAGUGCAGUACAAAUGAAAUAAAUUUCAACAUUUUUUGUUUUA
Molecule: long non-coding RNA, 610 nt
Organism: Pseudopipra pipra
Lineage: Eukaryota; Metazoa; Chordata; Aves; Passeriformes; Pipridae
Exons: 2
Source: RefSeq, a predicted model, not a curated record